RNAcentral lists this ribosomal RNA (253 nucleotides) under uncultured bacterium. RNAcentral describes it as "partial 16S ribosomal RNA". It matches the Rfam family "Bacterial small subunit ribosomal RNA", at positions 524 to 776 of the family's 1533-position model. The record is from RNAcentral.
UACGUAGGGUGCGAGCGUUGUCCGGAAUUAUUGGGCGUAAAGAGCUUGUAGGCGGUUUGUCGCGUCUGCCGUGAAAAUUCGAGGCUCAACCUCGAACUUGCGGUGGGUACGGGCAGACUAGAGUGUGGUAGGGGAGACUGGAAUUCCUGGUGUAGCGGUGAAAUGCGCAGAUAUCAGGAGGAACACCAAUGGCGAAGGCAGGUCUCUGGGCCACUACUGACGCUGAGAAGCGAAAGCAUGGGGAGCGAACAGG